RNAcentral lists this ribosomal RNA (114 nucleotides) under Staphylococcus aureus 08143-5. The record is from RNAcentral. Lineage: Bacteria; Bacillati; Bacillota; Bacilli; Caryophanales; Staphylococcaceae.
UGGUGACUAUAGCAAGGAGGUCACACCUGUUCCCAUGUCGAACACAGAAGUUAAGGUUCUUAGCGUCGAUGGUAGUCGAACUUACGUUCCGCUAGAGUAGAACGUUGCCAGGCA